RNAcentral lists this ribosomal RNA (668 nucleotides) under uncultured bacterium. RNAcentral's name for it is "bacterial SSU rRNA". It matches the Rfam family "Bacterial small subunit ribosomal RNA", at positions 72 to 719 of the family's 1533-position model. The record is from RNAcentral.
UCCGGGGGCAACUCCGGUAGUAAAGUGGCGAAAGGGCGAGUAAUCCAUGAUCAAUCUACCCCUUUGACGGGAAUAACGGAUGGAAACGGCCGCUAAGACCCGAUAAGCCAACGAUAAGGCAUCUUAUUGUUGGGAAACGGUUGGGAUCUUCGGACCUUCUGCUUAGGGAAGGGAUCAUGUCCUAUUAGCUAGUUGGUGGGGUUACGGCCCACCAAGGCUGUGAUGGGUAGCCGGCCUGAGAGGGUGGUCGGCCGCAUUGAGACUGAGACACGGCUCAGACUCCUACGGGAGGCAGCAGUCGAGAAUCUUCCGCAAUAGGCGAAAGCCUGACGGAGCGACGCCGCGUGGAGGAUGAAGGCCUUCGGGUUGUAAACUCCUGUCACCCGUUAAGAAUUGCAGGGCGUUAAUAGCGUUCUGCUUGACUAAGGCGGGAAAGGAAGCACCGGCUAACCCUGUGCCAGCAGCCGCGGUAAGACAGGGGGUGCAAGCGUUGCUCGGAAUCAUUGGGCGUAAAGCGCACGUAGGUGGUUGCGUAAGUCGGGUGUGAAAGCCCUCAGCUUAACUGAGGAACUGCGCCCGAUACUGCGUGGCUCGAGGAUGGGAGGGGAGAGUGGAAUUCCUGGUGGAGCGGUGAAUGCGUAAAUAUCAGGAGGAACACCGGUGGCGAA